GUCCACGCCCUAAACGAUGUCAACUGGUUGUUGGACGGCUUGCUGUUCAGUAACGAAGCUAACGCGUGAAGUUGACCGCCUGGGGAGUACGGCCGCAAGGUUGAAACUCAAAGGAAUUGACGGGGGACCCACACAAGCGGUGGAUGAUGUGGUUUAAUUCGAUGCAACGCGAAAACCUUAACCUACCCUUGACAUGUCUGGAAGUUUCUAGAGAUAGAUUCGUGCUCGAAAGAGAACCAGAACACAGGUGCUGCAUGGCCGUCGU
RNAcentral lists this ribosomal RNA (265 nucleotides) under uncultured bacterium. RNAcentral's name for it is "partial 16S ribosomal RNA". It matches the Rfam family "Bacterial small subunit ribosomal RNA", at positions 793 to 1055 of the family's 1533-position model. The record is from RNAcentral.